GCCCGCCUAGCUCAAUCGGAUAGAGCGUCAGACUCUUAAAUAGGCGGUGAAAUCUGAAGGCUGCGAGUUCGACCCUCGCGGUGGGCU
This 87-nucleotide transfer RNA is filed under the name Laccaria bicolor S238N-H82. It matches the Rfam family "tRNA". From Rfam's summary of the family: Transfer RNA (tRNA) molecules are approximately 80 nucleotides in length. Their secondary structure includes four short double-helical elements and three loops (D, anti-codon, and T loops). Further hydrogen bonds mediate the characteristic L-shaped molecular structure. tRNAs have two regions of fundamental functional importance: the anti-codon, which is responsible for specific mRNA codon recognition, and the 3' end, to which the tRNAs corresponding amino acid is attached (by aminoacyl-tRNA synthetases). tRNAs cope with the degeneracy of the genetic code in two manners: having more than one tRNA (with a specific anti-codon) for a particular amino acid; and 'wobble' base-pairing, i.e. permitting non-standard base-pairing at the 3rd anti-codon position. The record is from Rfam by way of RNAcentral. Lineage: Eukaryota; Fungi; Basidiomycota; Agaricomycetes; Agaricales; Hydnangiaceae.